GUGUGCAUGAGUGUACAUCAGCGUGUGUAUUUGUGAGUGCGUGUGCAUGACUGAGAGAGAAAGGGUGUGUGUGAGAGUAUGUGUGUGUGUGUGGAUGUGUGUGUGUAUAUGUGGGUGUGUGUCUCUAUGUGUAUCUGAGUGUGUAUGUGUGAGUGUGUGUGUAUGUGUAUACGAGUGUGUGUGGUGUGUGUGAGUGGGUAUAUGAAUGUGGUGUAUGUGUGUGCACGUGAGUGUGUGGGUGUGUGUGUCUGUGUAUCUGAGUGUGUAUGUGUGAGUGU
Long non-coding RNA from Anguilla rostrata (American eel), 278 nucleotides. RefSeq lists it as uncharacterized. The record is from RefSeq and is a predicted model, not a curated record. NCBI's taxonomy places the organism in Eukaryota, Metazoa, Chordata, Actinopteri, Anguilliformes, Anguillidae. The transcript has 3 exons.